This 418-nucleotide ribosomal RNA is filed under the name uncultured Actinomycetes bacterium. Its description in RNAcentral is "bacterial SSU rRNA". It matches the Rfam family "Bacterial small subunit ribosomal RNA", at positions 9 to 419 of the family's 1533-position model. Lineage: Bacteria; Bacillati; Actinomycetota; Actinomycetes. The record is from RNAcentral.
GAGUUUGAUCGUGGCUCAGGACGAACGCUGGCGGCGUGCUUAACACAUGCAAGUCGAGCGGGGUCCAUCCUUUCGCAAGAAAGGGGAAGACCUAGCGGCGAACGGGUGAGUAACACGUGAGGAACCUGCCCCGAAGACUGGGAUAACACCGGGAAACCGGUGCUAAUACCGGAUGCCCUCAGAGAGUCGCAUGGCUCAUUGAGGAAAUGGAUUCCGCUUCGGGAGGGCCUCGCGGCCUAUCAGCUUGUUGGUGGGGUAACGGCCUACCAAGGCUCCGACGGGUAGCUGGUCUGAGAGGACGACCAGCCACACUGGGACUGAGACACGGCCCAGACUCCUACGGGAGGCAGCAGUGGGGAAUCUUGCGCAAUGGGCGAAAGCCUGACGCAGCAACGCCGCGUGGGGGACGAAGGCCUUC